GGGUGAGUAACACGUAUGGAACCUGCCCGUAGCAGGGGGAUAGGCGGAAGAAAUUCCGUCUAAUACCGCGUAAUAACUCCGAGAGGCAUCUCCUGGGGUUUAAAGGGUAACACCGGCUACGGAUGGCCAUGCGGCGCAUUAGCUAGUUGGCGGGGUAACGGCCCACCAAGGCGACGAUGCGUAGGGGUUCUGAGAGGAAGGUCCCCCACACUGGUACUGAGACACGGACCAGACUCCUACGGGAGGCAGCAGUGAGGAAUAUUGGUCAAUGGGCGCGAGCCUGAACCAGCCAAGUCGCGUGAGGGAAGACGGUCCUAUGGAUUGUAAACCUCUUUUGUCGGGGAGCAAAAGACGCCACGCGUGGCGUUCCGAGAGUACCCGAAGAAAAAGCAUCGGCUAACUCCGUGCCAGCAGCCGCGGUAAUACGGAGGAUGCGAGCGUUAUCCGGAUUUAUUGGGUUUAAAGGGUGCGCAGGCGGAAGAUCAAGUCAGCGGUAAAAUUGAGAGGCUCAACCUCUUCGAGCCGUUGAAACUGGUUUUCUUGAGUGAGCGAGAAGUAUGCGGAAUGCGUGGUGUAGCGGUGAAAUGCAUAGAUAUCACGCAGAACUCCGAUUGCGAAGGCAGCAUACCGGCGCUCAACUGACGCUCAUGCACGAAAGUGUGGGUAUCGAACAGGAUUAGAUACCCUGGUAGUCCACACAGUAAACGAUGAAUACUAAUUGUUCGGG
This 727-nucleotide ribosomal RNA is filed under the name uncultured bacterium. RNAcentral's name for it is "bacterial SSU rRNA". It matches the Rfam family "Bacterial small subunit ribosomal RNA", at positions 104 to 828 of the family's 1533-position model. The record is from RNAcentral.